AUGAGCGAAAAGAAUAACUUAGUUCUAUUUGCCACCAAAAGUGAGAUAAGAGAAGUAAAGGCUUGGGCUAACAAAAACCUAGCUAAUGGAGAAGUCAUUGGCGAAGUCACCAGGCCCUCUACUUUUCAUUAUAAAACCGACAAACCAGAAAAAGAUGGAUUAUUUUGCGAAAGAAUCUUUGAACCCAUAAAAAGUGGGAUUUGCGCUUGUGGCAAUUGUCGAGCGAACGGAGGUGAAAAUGAAGACGAAAGAAUUGGGCAAAAAUGCAGGGUAGAAUUUGUGGAUUCUCAUAUACGAAGAUAUCAAAUGGGAUAA
RNAcentral lists this ribosomal RNA (315 nucleotides) under Triticum aestivum (bread wheat). RNAcentral's name for it is "partial small subunit ribosomal RNA". The record is from RNAcentral. Lineage: Eukaryota; Viridiplantae; Streptophyta; Magnoliopsida; Poales; Poaceae.